AGUGAACGCUGGCGGUAGGCCUAACACAUGCAAGUCGAACGGCAGCACAGGAGAGCUUGCUCUCUGGGUGGCGAGUGGCGGACGGGUGAGGAAUACAUCGGAAUCUACUCUGUCGUGGGGGAUAACGUAGGGAAACUUACGCUAAUACCGCAUACGACCUACGGGUGAAAGCAGGGGAUCUUCGGACCUUGCGCGAUUGAAUGAGCCGAUGUCGGAUUAGCUAGUUGGCGGGGUAAAGGCCCACCAAGGCGACGAUCCGUAGCUGGUCUGAGAGGAUGAUCAGCCACACUGGAACUGAGACACGGUCCAGACUCCUACGGGAGGCAGCAGUGGGGAAUAUUGGACAAUGGGCGCAAGCCUGAUCCAGCCAUACCGCGUGGGUGAAGAAGGCCUUCGGGUUGUAAAGCCCUUUUGUUGGGAAAGAAAUCCAGCUGGUUAAUACCCGGUUGGGAUGACGGUACCCAAAGAAUAAGCACCGGCUAACUUCGUGCCAGCAGCCGCGGUAAUACGAAGGGUGCAAGCGUUACUCGGAAUUACUGGGCGUAAAGCGUGCGUAGGUGGUUAUUUAAGUCCGUUGUGAAAGCCCUGGGCUCAACCUGGGAACUGCAGUGGAUACUGGAUGACUAGAAUGUGGUAGAGGGUAGCGGAAUUCCUGGUGUAGCAGUGAAAUGCGUAGAGAUCAGGAGGAACAUCCAUGGCGAAGGCAGCUACCUGGACCAACAUUGACACUGAGGCACGAAAGCGUGGGGAGCAAACGGG
RNAcentral lists this ribosomal RNA (759 nucleotides) under uncultured Stenotrophomonas sp. Its description in RNAcentral is "bacterial SSU rRNA". It matches the Rfam family "Bacterial small subunit ribosomal RNA", at positions 28 to 776 of the family's 1533-position model. The record is from RNAcentral. Lineage: Bacteria; Pseudomonadati; Pseudomonadota; Gammaproteobacteria; Lysobacterales; Lysobacteraceae.